This is a long non-coding RNA of Cottoperca gobio, 2513 nucleotides long. RefSeq lists it as uncharacterized. The transcript has 6 exons. The record is from RefSeq and is a predicted model, not a curated record. Lineage: Eukaryota; Metazoa; Chordata; Actinopteri; Perciformes; Bovichtidae.
GGAUUGUCAUUCAUGUUACAUCGUGUCCUGUUCGUUAGGGUUAUUUUAAAUUAUUUUACAUUAUAGACAUUAUCUACAUUCGGACUUCGCCGUGUAAUCCAGACUGACCAAGAUUCCUGUGGGACUCCAAGGCCUAGAAGGCUUUCCAGGGACUUAAGACAAGUUUUACCUCCAGCCCCAAUUCUCACACUUCCGGAUUCUCAGCGGCAGUUUGUGGUGGAAGUCGAUGCGUAAGAUGUAGGACUCGGAGCCGUUCUCUCGUAAUGAUCCGAGAAGGAUAACAAGCUGCAUCCGUGUGCAUUCUUAUCCCGAAAAUUGUCUCCAGCUGAAAGAAACUACGACGUCAGUAACCGGGAACUGCUUGCUAUCAAGUUGACAUUGGAGGAGUGGCGGCACUGGUUGGAGGCAGCAGAGCAUCCUUUUCUGGUUUGGACUGAUCACAAGAACCUGCAGUACAUUCAAUCCGCAAGACGACUCAACACCAAACAGGCCAGUGGGGAGAGUGAGAGAGAGCGAGAGAGGUCGGAUCGCCAGGCCUAGCAUUCCUAUCCUUCCUGCGUGACGAAGGCCUCCGUGCCGCUCUUGACUUUGUUGAAAGUCUUUUGAGCUCCAUUUCAGUGCGCCUAUGGCUACCAGCAGCCGCUGUUUCCCGACUUGGAGGCAGAGUCCAGCGUUCCGUCUGCUCAGGCACUAGUCCGCCGCUGUCACCGGACCUGGAGCCGGGCUCGGCAAGUCCUUCUCAGCAGUUCUGCACCAUACUCUCAUCCGGAACUUCCACCGUCAGCAUCCCAAGUUUCCUGAGACAUCAGGUGCCAGAGCGCAGCUUGGCGUUAUGGAAGCGCAGAGAGGAUGUGUUCGUGACUACGUUGAAAUCCAGACCAAGAUUGUGCAGGGCCCAAAUAUCUAUCGAGACCAGAGGCAGCCGAAAUCUGUCCCACCCCAGCAAUCUGUCAAUGACUCCCUAGCCGCCAGGAUCAUCCGCCCCUCUUCACCUAUCACUUGGUGCGGAUCUGAGAUGGUGAUGAGUGGAAGACAGCUUUCAACAACACCUCAGAACACUAGGAAUAUUUGGUGAGGUCUUCUUCCUCACCAACGCCCGGCUGUGUUUCAGGCCUUGGUCAACGAUGUGCUAAGGGACAAAACUAAAGAGGAGCAUUUGCAUCGUGUCCAGUCGGUCCUUCAGUGCCUCCUGGAGAACUCUUUGUUGGUCAAGACUGAAAAGUGAGUUCCACACCUCAUCUGUCUCCUUCCUGGGGUACAUCGUGGGACAGGGGAGCAUGCAGAUGGACACCACCAAGGUGUCAGCUAUUAUGUCCUGGCUUGUCCCUGACUCACGUAAACAGCUGCAACGGUUCCUGGGGUUCACAAACUUCUAUCAGAGGUUCAUCUGCGGCUAUAGCACUGUUGCUUCCCCACUCACGGCCCUCGCCUUAUCCAAGGUGCCGUUCCGGUGGUCUUCCUCAGCUGAGGAGGCCUUCAAGAAACUCAAGGCCUGGUUCACAUCUGCUCCCAUCCUCCAAGUACCAGACCCUGAGAGACAAUUUGUUGUGGAGGUGGGAGCCAUCCUGUCCCAGAGAGAUGCCUCUGCCCUGCCCCAGCCAAUCUUCCUGCGGAAUCUUGCUCCCCUUUUUCCUUGAAUUUGGGUCCAGACACCUUUCCUGACAGAAAUUAUAUUUCACAUGCCCACAUUACCAACGCCUGUCAGGGAAAACAUAAAUUAUCACCUCAUUUUCUAGAGAGGACAGUCUGAAGCAGCAAACAUGCCCAUGGGAAAUGUGUUCUUAAUUUAGAGAAAUGCCAUCACUAAUAAUAUAACAGGCAUCAUUCCAAGCUCGUAUUCAUUGACAAUGAUUUUAUCAAGGUAUUACAAUGCAUUUGACAUUUGUAUUAUGAUAUUUAACAAUGAAAAAUGUAACUUUUUGAAAGCCCCUUCAUGUUCUCAUUAUCUACAGAGGGGAAGGAUACUGUGUUCCAGAUGGAGCUGAGAGCUAACUGAUUACAGUUAACCAGCAGACACUUAUCCACUGCUAUUGAAAUGAGAAUGUUUCCCCUCCCUCCCUGAUGGUACCUUGGACAGGUCCGUGAGGGAUCCCCGUUGGUUCAUCGUCAGGUCCAUGGCUGAAAAGAAAUCCCCCACGAUGACUUAGUGAAUGUGUGGCAGACUUGUAAAACCCCUAUGGUGCAUUAUGUGGAAAUCAGUUGCAAUGGCUUAUCUAUCCACCAGGUGGAGCAGUGAUGGAAGCUGACAGUUUAAUGCAGCUGAAAUAAUCUGUUUUUAUCAUAUUUGACACAAGGAAAUGUGCUUACAACACAGAGCAUACUUUUAAUUCUUAUUAUAUCAUGUCAUAUCAUAAUAAACAGGUCAUGACAAAAUUAUGCUCACGGUUUUUUGUAAAACACUGAUCCAGAUUGUUUUUUUUAUGCAUUAAAUAGCGAAUUGGCUGAAUGAAACACGCCUCUAGUUCCUGUCUGAUAAUACCUCCUAUUUUGUCUGCGAAUGCUCUAAUAAUGCG